This 252-nucleotide ribosomal RNA is filed under the name uncultured bacterium. RNAcentral's name for it is "partial 16S ribosomal RNA". It matches the Rfam family "Bacterial small subunit ribosomal RNA", at positions 524 to 776 of the family's 1533-position model. The record is from RNAcentral.
UACGUAGGUGGCAAGCGUUGUCCGGAAUUAUUGGGCGUAAAGCGCGCGCAGGCGGCUUAGUCAGUCUGACUUAAAAGUUCGGGGCUUAACCCCGUGAGGGGAUGGAAACUGCUGAUCUAGAGUAUCGGAGAGGAAAGUGGAAUUCCUAGUGUAGCGGUGAAAUGCGUAGAUAUUAGGAAGAACACCAGUGGCGAAGGCGACUUUCUGGACGGACACUGACGCUGAGGCGCGAAAGCGAGGGGAGCGAAGGGG